UACGGUGCCCGACGCUGGUUAAAGUGUAGUAUCUGUUCUUAUCAGCUUAAUAUCUGGUAAGGGUUGUAUUUGGACCCAAGAUAUUAAACUUAUUUUGGGAAGUUAAUGGAGUGCUUGAAGCCUGCUUCACCUCCACCGCGGGUCGGCUUUGUAUUGCACAAUCUUCUGGAUUUUUUGGUCUACGGACA
Dermacentor silvarum is the source of this 188-nucleotide small nuclear RNA. RefSeq annotates it as U2 spliceosomal RNA. The record is from RefSeq and is a predicted model, not a curated record. NCBI's taxonomy places the organism in Eukaryota, Metazoa, Arthropoda, Arachnida, Ixodida, Ixodidae. The transcript has a single exon.